AUACGGAGGGAGCAAGCGUUAUUCGGAAUCACUGGGCGUAAAGGACGCGUAGGCGGGUUUGUAAGUCAGGUGUGAAAUCCUACAGCUCAACUGUAGAACUGCACUUGAAACUACAGACCUAGAGUAUGGAAGGGGCAGAUGGAAUUAGUGGUGUAGGGGUAAAAUCCGUAGAUAUCACUAGGAAUACCGAAAGCGAAGGCGAUCUGCUGGGACAUUACUGACGCUGAGGCGUGAAAGCGUGGGGAGCAAACAGGAUUAGAAACCCUGGUAGUCC
This 274-nucleotide ribosomal RNA is filed under the name uncultured bacterium. RNAcentral's name for it is "partial 16S ribosomal RNA". It matches the Rfam family "Bacterial small subunit ribosomal RNA", at positions 523 to 796 of the family's 1533-position model. The record is from RNAcentral.